RNAcentral lists this long non-coding RNA (1192 nucleotides) under Mytilus galloprovincialis (Mediterranean mussel). The record is from RNAcentral. Lineage: Eukaryota; Metazoa; Mollusca; Bivalvia; Mytilida; Mytilidae.
AUGAUUUGAGAAAGGUUUUUUUUGUAAGAAUUUUUAUUAAGAAAAUAUGUGGCAAUGGAUAACGCAUUGUUUUUCCUUAUCGCAGUUAGAUGUUUAUAUCUGUUCGUGUUUAGUUUGGGUUAAAAAUCAUUUACUAGGAAUUUGUAUGUCAUUUUCUCCGAUAAAAACGAUAUACCACAGUGAAAGUAGAAUCAAAUAGCCUAACACUGAACCAUUUACCGCCCGCAGUUUGGGGGUGGUUUUUCUCAAAGCUAUGAAUGUAGCUAACGUAUACGUGAGUUAGCCAUAUUGCACGUCAGUGUGUCGCGUUUUAGUUUAUAGUAUUCAAACAAAUUCUAGGCUUGGUGUCUGCAGUUUGGUCAGAAGAUUAAAUACUACUAUCAUAGAAACAGGACAACAAAUUUACUUUAUUCUAUAAAAAACAUUUUUAUAUUUAUUGAAACUGUGAUAAAAAUUAUAGUAAAUUUUGAUACGUAAUAAACAAAUUUGAUAAUGAAUUUGUUUAAGAAGAUAUAUUUUUUAUCCUAAAUAUAAGAGAAAAUACACUUAUUUUAUUAGUGCUUAACCUAUAUCCUACAGUGACAUAAGAUAUGCCAGUAAAACUAGAAAAGGUUUCACCAACAUUUUUGUAUUGCACAUGUAGUCCUGUACACAAUUUGAAUAAAAGAGCAUGACUAGAAAGUCUGUCGUAUGGAGUUCAUAAACAGGGAUUUCUUUCUUUUCUGUCUUCAUUUUUCCUCAACUUUAUGAGAGUUAUAAUCUCACAAUGCUGACGUAAAUACAAGUAUAUGCAAAUACUUUACUUAAUUUAAUACAUGUUCUUAGGUUGCUGUCUCGUUGAAUUGUUCCCUAUACCUACAUCAUCAGCAAAAGAUUUUAAAAUAUUCUUUUACAUCUAUAAAUAAAAUUGACAAUAUAAAUGUGGAAUGUGUCAAAAAUACAGCAACCGGACCAAAGAUUGUUGUUGCUUCAAGUCACAAUUGCCACUUUUGUGACACAUUGGCAAGUUAUCAUUUCUACUUUCCAUUUCCAUUUUUCAAAAAAAUAGGAACUAAGUAGGUAUGAACACAAAUGAUCAUAUGGACAUAAAUAACUAUAUCCGUAGAUAAGUAUAAAUUAAUUAAAAAUAAUAUUCAGUAAUUGUCGCAUGCAUAUCACAUUCUACUCUUCACAUGAUACGAUCAUGUUUUGA